GUAGGGUGCGAGCGUUAAUCGGAAUUACUGGGCGUAAAGCGUGCGCAGGCGGUUAUGUAAGACAGAUGUGAAAUCCCCGGGCUCAACCUGGGAACUGCAUUAGUGACUGCAUAGCUGGAGUACGGCAGAGGGGGAUGGAAUUCCGCGUGUAGCAGUGAAAUGCGUAGAUAUGCGGAGGAACACCGAUGGCGAAGGCAAUCCCCUGGGCCUGUACUGACGCUCAUGCACGAAAGCGUGGGGAGCAAACAGGAUUAGAUACCCUGGUAGUCCACGCCCUAAACGAAGUCAACUGGUUGUUGGGUCUUCACUGACUCAGUAACGAAGCUAACGCGUGAAGUUGACCGCCUGGGGAGUACGGCCGCAAGGUUG
This 369-nucleotide ribosomal RNA is filed under the name uncultured bacterium. RNAcentral's name for it is "bacterial SSU rRNA". It matches the Rfam family "Bacterial small subunit ribosomal RNA", at positions 527 to 896 of the family's 1533-position model. The record is from RNAcentral.